RNAcentral lists this small RNA (1975 nucleotides) under Homo sapiens (human). Its description in RNAcentral is "MYCLo-3 v1 long non-coding RNA". Lineage: Eukaryota; Metazoa; Chordata; Mammalia; Primates; Hominidae. The record is from RNAcentral.
GGCGCUCCGGUACUCGCUGCUCGCGGCUGGCCGGCUCGGGAUUCCGGGCUUUCUUCCCGAGACCGCGUCCCCCAGCUGGGCCGAAGGUGGACGCUCAGGGGCUGGAGGCUCAGCGGAAUCCCCUGCGUUCAGUAGCCCCGCUCUCCCCUGUCCCGAAGGAGGAUUACUCUGCCCCUCAGCGGUUCCAGUGCCCUCAAAGCAAUCUGUCUCUGAAGUACUGGCUAUCUUCUGAGCGUGUGCCAGAAGAUCCAGCUUUGUUGAAAAGCGAAGCCGUUAGUCCCUUAAUACAAAGGGAUCAGGGAUAGCAGAAAUGAAAGUAUAAUGGAAGCAGCUGGAGGAUUCCAGGUCCACUUUCACCCAAGUAAUGGAGACGGAAGGUUCAUCGAAACUUCUUCAGCUGCAGAUCUAGAAGUCAUUAGCUAUUCUAGCAAAGUAUCUGUCACAGAAAGGUGCUUCAUAAAGGUCUGCACUGUGCUCUUUUGACCUGUGUCUUCAAGCAUGUGCUGUCAUAACAGAUUAAAGAUGACUGAAAAUUAUCUGCCACUCAUUGCGUGAAAGGUGGGAUCUGUAGACCUCCCUCUUGAAUUUGGGAGGGUUCUGUGACUGCUGUGACCAAUGAAUAUGGCAGAAGUGACGCUUUGCCAACUUCUGGGUCCAGGCUAUACGAGACAGGCAGUUCCACUCACUGUCUCUUAGAUCCAUGUAAAAAGUUCAUCUACCCUGCUGGAAAAACCAUGUAGAGAGGCCCUGAGACUACAUUGGGUGGGAGAGGGGCUCAGCUGCACCAUCUUCCAACUGUCCCCAUCAAGAUGACAGAAAUAUAAAUGAAGCCUUCUUGAACUCCAGACCAUCCAUGCUACAAGCUAAAUGCCACCAAGCGACCCCAGUUAAUACCAUGUGGAGCAAAAAUAUCACUUAACCAAGCACUGCCUGAGUUUCUGACCCCACAGAAUUCUGACCCCAUACAAAUAAAAUAAUUUUUGUAAUUUUUUAUAAUUCGUCAUGUAAUAGAUAAAUGGAACAGCCUUCUUCCAGUCUUUUAAAUAGCUGCAAGAAAUCUUAUUCAAGCAGAAGGAAGUUUCUACUUUGUUCAUACAGUCUCAAGACAUCCCUGGAGCCUUUCAAGGGAAAUUUGGGCAGAAGUAGGUAGAGAGGUAAAGCUAUUAUGUAACAUUACUUAACAUGAUUAAAACCACCUUAAUGUCUCCCAUCCUCAAAGGCUGCCAGUGAAUUGGAAAUUAAUGGAUUAAAUGAGGACAGAGAAACUAGUAUUUGUGCAUAUGCACUGUGCCAGGUAUUUAACGUAUCUUAGCUCAUGUGGUCUUCGAAACAACCCCAUAUUGUAGUAUCAGGCUCACACGGGUAACUAACUAGUGCAAAGACACAAGGCUCACAAACUGCUACUUGACCCUAGAGCUCUUUGACUCCGAUUCCCAUGUACGUGCCCCAAUACCAUGUUGACUCCCAAGGUGUAAAUCUUCAGGUAUACAAACUAUUAAAAUGUGAAUUUUCAUUUAUACGCAAUUUUUGCUUAUGAUAUGUUUUUUGUCACUUGCAUAAUAAUAGAUAUGUAACUUUAAAUCAGCAAUAUUAUACUGGCUAUCAACCAGUUUCAUGUAAAUUUUUCUAACAGAAAGAAUGUAGCAUUGAAAUGUGUACAUUUUUGUCCAAGUACACCUGGCAAUUGAAAGAAAAAAUCCAAGCCACUUGGAUGCUUGAUUUUGUGAUUUUUUUUUAUACACUUCCUUAUAAGAAUUUUUUUUAGGUAUUGAAUUUGCAACUACAAAACCUGAUUUUCCUCCCGGUUCUGUCCCUUUCUAGUAAUGAGACAUUGGACAAGUCACUUCACUUCCCAGAGCUUUAGUUUCCUCACUAGUUAGUGGAGGCCAAGAGUUAGCUCUAAGAGUGUGAGAAUUAUUAAUAAAUGAGAUAAUGUAUUUUAAAAUAUUUUUAAACUACAAAAUAGCAUAUAACU